Mauremys reevesii (Reeves's turtle) is the source of this 1805-nucleotide long non-coding RNA. RefSeq lists it as uncharacterized. The record is from RefSeq and is a predicted model, not a curated record. Lineage: Eukaryota; Metazoa; Chordata; Testudines; Geoemydidae. The transcript is spliced from 2 exons.
GGCCGAUUAAAAAGAAAUUGACUAGCCCAGACUCGCACCCUUCUGCAGCUCAAAGGGGAUGGUGCUCUUUCUACACCCCCAAACGGGGCAAGCUGGGGCUUGUACACGCUGAUCUGGCCAAGAAGAGUCUCAGCCGGUUUAUUUUUCAGCCUGUAGAGGAUUAUCGGGGAAUUGUUGAUCCGCCCGCCAGGUGAGUAUUUGCACCAGCAAUGAGCCAGAUCCCCAGCUGGUGUAGACAGACCUAAGUGGGGCUACAUCUGAUGGACACGGCAGCUGGGGAUCUGCACCUGCGGACUCUCCUGGAGCUGGGGAGAUGGAAUUUUUAUGACGCCACUGAACGUGCUGGUUGUUCGUGUGGAUGAAGAGAACAAUGGGAGGGGGGAAAUGUACGAUACCUCCCCGCCCCCGAUUGCUACAUCUCGGAUUCCGGAUCCAAUGGGGAGCACGGAGCGGGCAGGAGGCCAGGCUGGUGCCUCUGCCUGGAAUUGGCACCGUGAGUCUGACCCAGCAGCGACACCCAGCUGGAGAAGCACUGAGGAUGCUGGGACCAGGCUGCAGGGAGCCAUGGAGCUUGGCGAUAAGAGAGGGGGGAAGGAAAUUGUUUUCUGCCUGUGGCGGCUUUGAGUUGCUACACAGAGAACGCCGGAUCUGCAGCUGACCACAAGAAGAACUAACACGUGAAAGCUUACAAAGAAAUCAACAAUGCAAGAGCCUGGGUUUGAUCCCAUCUUGUCACCCUCCAAGUAAUGCAAGACUGUUCCGUACAGUUGAUUCUCCAGGGCUUCGCCCAGUCCCAUUUAAGCCAUUCCACUAAUGGAGACUGCUUCCCCGGAGAGAAUGUGCCACAGCCUGAUGGAUCAAUCUCACCCCUCCAAGCACUCCCACCCCCUGAGUCUUGUCACUUGUUCCCAUGACUCCCGUACACGUUGUUCACCCACGUUACACACGUUUUCCUCUCCAUCUCAUUAGUCAAAUGAUCCACGAACCAGGGGAAGAUCUGGUCAGAGCUAGUAGGCCUGCUCUGAGCAGGCCUAUUAGCUCAGACCCCACUCAGAAUGCUCCCCUGGGAUGUGGAAGAUGUAGGUUCAAUUCCCCCUUUGCCCAAGGGGGAGGAUAAUAUUUGAACAGGGUUUCCCCACCACUCAGGUGAGUGCACUGAGCUAUGGGAUAUGCUGAUGUGGAGCUUCCCCUGAAGCUGUUCCACUGUGGAGAAAUAACUAAAGAGUCAUUGGGCCAGAGAGUGAAUAAGAGAGCAAAUGACACUAAAGCUUCAUCAUUAGUGAACCGCCUAAGAAGAUGGGAGACGGCGGGUCUAGUCCCCCUGCUCCAAUUCUUCAUACAAAGUGGAACUGAGUCUGCAGCCCCUAAGCAUUACUGGGUUUUUUUUAAAGAAGCCUGCAGCAUUGAUGGAAGCAAAGAAAACCUCCCAGACAAGAACCGAGUCCACAUUCGGUGGUGACGUCUGCGUGAGUCCGCAAACAGCUGGCCGGGCCUCAUUUCUAAUUUGAAGUUGCUUUGUUUAACUUCCAGCCCUUGGUUCUUGUUCCACCUUCCGCCAGUAGAGUCACGAUUUAGCACCUGGUAAUUUCUCUCCAGGAUGGUACAUAUACACUGUGAUCACGUCACCUCUUGAUCUUAACGUGAACAAACUUGAGCCCUCAAUCUCUCACUGUAUGGCAUUUUUUUCCAGCCCCUGAAUAAUUUUUAGGCUAAUCUCUUCACCCUCUCCAAAUUUUCAACUUCCUUUUUAAAAUGUUGACACCACAGCUGGGCGGAGUAUUCACCAAUGGCCCGUACGGAGCUUA